AAGGAAGAGGAGGAGGAGGAAGAGGAAGAGGAAUAAGAAGAAGAAAAAGAAAGAAAGAGAGAGAAAAAGAGUCCCAAGAAUGAGGGGGCAGGAGGUUGAAGGAAGAGAAGAAGCCAUAACAGGCCACUGCAGCCCAAUGCAUGUGACAAUUUGGGCAAAGUGAACCCCUGCUUUGGAACGUAUUCUUUGAAGACAGCUCUCGGCAUUGAUAUAAACGUACAGAACGGCGGGCAAGUUGCAGUUCUGCGCAUGCGCAGUAUUGCCCUCCUCGAUGGUGCCUGGGCACACAGCAAUGGCCUGCAACCGUGAUGCUCGAUUUCUGCGGGGGCUGUAUAAACCGCCGUUCUGCUUUCACAUGAAACAGUAACUUGAAAACAACAUCUGAUUCUUGAGAACAUAAAAACAAAACUCCAUGGCUACUUUCAGUGGUGCAAAAGGUUGGACUCCUCCUCCAAGUACCUGACUUUGCUCAUUUGUUUUCUAAAUACUCAGAAAUGUCGCUUUACGUCCCACUGGUUUACCUCUGAGUAGAGACACCCAGAUCAAACACCCAAGGUCCACCAGCAUUUGAAAAAGUGUUUGUCUGGAACUUCAUUUUUUUUUUUUUUUUUUGCCUUUAUGACCUAAAAACUCAUCCCGGCCGCUCCUUGGAUACAUUCAUAGGCUGGUCUUGACCCUCACAGAGAGGGACCACCAGGGGAUGGGAUCAUAUGUGUCCACUGGUUCUCCACACUGGCUAUCAGUUACCUCUCCUUUCCUUAGACAUUUGCCUCCUUCUGAUUCCUACCACAUUCAGGGGUUAUUACUUCCUAAAUUGAUUUUUUUCUUUUUACUGAUCCCCAGUAGUUAAAGCCCUAGCAAUGUCUGUUCAUUCCCUUCCGUUUUUAUAUAAUGAUUCCACUGUAGAUAGUAGCAAUUUAAAACAGAAAUAAAACUCACUCCCCUGUUUUCACUGUAA
Long non-coding RNA from Marmota flaviventris (yellow-bellied marmot), 958 nucleotides. RefSeq lists it as uncharacterized. Lineage: Eukaryota; Metazoa; Chordata; Mammalia; Rodentia; Sciuridae. The record is from RefSeq and is a predicted model, not a curated record.